UUUGGCUGCAAAGACAUUUAUCAUAUUGACCACAGUGAGGAAAUCCACAUUCAAUUCAAGAAAAGCAAGCUGAAGCAUGUCACGCAAUAACCAGCAAUGACAAUAAUAUACAACAUGGAUUAUUUAGUCCAUACCACCAGCAAUACCUUCAAAUAUAUCAAAUCAAUAGAGGGAAAAUAGUCAGAACAAAUGAAGCAUACAGAGAGAGAAUAACAAAAAUAUUCAAAACCUCAGAUCCAGCAGUAAAAAUUAAUUUUUCGGAGCAAUGGAUUUGCUCCAAAAUUAUAUACCCAACAAUAAAUUUAAACAUGGAUUGAAUUUAAUAAGGAAAAGAAAAGGAGAAGCGAUAAAAAAUGAGCCAAAUAUAUGAUAAGAUGAGUAAGACCACCAAAUUGACAUUUUAUUUUCUUUGUCUUAAUAACUAUUUGCAAAGAAAAUGACAUGAGCUUCCAAAGCUUCGAAGUAUAAAUGCUAUUCAUAUAAGUCUUCUCAGCUGUCUUUGUUAAAUCAAAAAUGCAUUUCGAAAAAUAAUGAUUUCCUAUGGUGGGAAGGAGUUCCUCUUGGACAUUCAGAAGAAUCUAAUUCCUCCUAGGAUUUGAAUUUCACAAGUUUAUCACCUAAAAUCUACCACUUUCCUCUGCGGGGUAAACCCCAAAUUAUCCUCCUUUUCACAAAUAUUUCUAGUGUAGAUUUGCAAACUCGAUCACACACUUGCCAAAGUACUGAGACAAGUCACACCGCUAAUCAAGUCAUCUUUAAGACACUCUAACGAACACUAAUUGCUUGUGCAAUAAAUGCUUUUAAUUCCCUAAGAUUCCCUAAGUCUUACGAAUAGUUAUGUGAUACCAAUGCACUCAAAAUCUUUUAUCACAAAAUUAUUCCUUUCAAACUAAAACAUUAACUUUCUUUCUUGCUUUCUCUUAUUUUCACUGGCAAAACUUAAAAGAGUGAUAAAUGUUCAAACAUUUUACGUAGAAUUCAGCAUUGUUCUUCUAAAUCACAUUGACCUAUUUUAUCAAAUUUAGUAUACUGAUGGAUGGCGCAUCUAUCUUAUUUUGGAAUCAUAGAAUAAAACUAAACACAAUAUAAACUGAAUGCCAACCUAGUUGGGUCUCAAGUCUCAAAUUAUCUGUGAGGUCCUUUCUUAUAUUCUACUUGGAUAAGGGCAGCACUUUCACAAGGAAGCCAAAGAAUAGAUGAUAUGAACCUAUCUAACUCACCUCAAAAGCUAGC
RNAcentral lists this unclassified non-coding RNA (1233 nucleotides) under Hevea brasiliensis (rubber tree). Lineage: Eukaryota; Viridiplantae; Streptophyta; Magnoliopsida; Malpighiales; Euphorbiaceae. The record is from RNAcentral.